RNA transcript from Arabidopsis lyrata subsp. lyrata, 2234 nucleotides. RefSeq lists it as uncharacterized. The record is from RefSeq and is a predicted model, not a curated record. Lineage: Eukaryota; Viridiplantae; Streptophyta; Magnoliopsida; Brassicales; Brassicaceae. The transcript is spliced from 3 exons.
UAUAGCUUACACUAAAUUUUAUGUUACUUUUUUACAGUUUGUGGGUCAGCUUUAAUCUGUUUUGAAAAGCUUUUCCACCAUUUUACGGAUAUUUUUGUCAUGCUUUUUAUCCUUCUCUUAUUUUGGCUGCAAAUUAAAUUGUAUUUAAAAAAAUGUUAUUUCUAUAAUUUUGAUAUGCAGCUAAAUGAUUUAAAAUGAAGCAAAAAAAGAAAAAUACUUCUUCAGACAAACUACUUCAUGCGUGCCUCUUACAUAAACUCUGCCAAUACAAGAUCGAACCCUGGUAGGAAUGUAAAUCAUGGUGAGAUUCGACCACUUUGAACAUGCAUACUCUAGCUCUCUUCUAAUUUUAACACUACACUUAUUUUCAUUUUAAAUCUUUUGAUCUUCAAUACCUAAACGUUCUCUUCUUGAUCCUGUCUUAAAAUCCAGACACUUAUAGUGACAAAAAAAAAAAACAUGACUAAUGUCGUAAAACAAGUUCUUAAAUACCUCACACCAUCCUCUCGCUCUCCCACCUUGACCUUAAUUCAUAUCUCUACAUUAGCCAGUAAACUCUGAUUCUAGAGUUUUUGCUGGACAAGAAAGAAAUCUUUGUGUAACUUAAGAGUCAAGAGAUGACAAAGAAGGAUCUUCUUUACGAUUCAAUACUUGCUCGUAGCUUUAGCAAAACUGAUCAGAUGAGACUUGGCUUUGGAGCUUUCAUUGCCUCUCUUCUCUUUGUCUUCACUCUUUGCACUGUCGUUAAACCUUAUCUCAGCCCUUUACCAAUCGUGGAGUUACAAAUAUCAGUUGGCACAGGAUGCUGAGAAUAACAGAACCGCAAGCGUUAAGGAGCAGCAAGAAUGCAACAUCUGAAGAUUCUGAGAAACUCAUUACUCAGACCCUAAUCAGUUCUGAAGAUCACAAGCUUAGUGUCUGCAACGACACAAGCAUGCCAAAGAAUCAUCUUGAUUCGUUUAAUUGUACUACCAACACUACAAUCUCCAAAGAAGAAGUUAUUUCAGAGUGCAAUAAAAUGGAGAAACCUAUCUGUCACUGUAACAAGCUAGGAAGCAAAGAGUUUUGCGAUCUAAGCGGCGACGUAACUGUUCUUGCGGCGAUCACGUACGUCUGCGUUUUCCGGGAAUUCAACGUGGCAUAUGAGACCUUAUGCGAGAAAAGACCAAGGUGCGGCCAUGAAACGCGUGAGAGAAUGGACGGUGAAAUUAAUACAAAACGCUAGUUUAUCACGUUGCGUUAAGAAUCACAGCGUUCCGGCGAUUCUUUUCUCCCUCGGAGGCUUCUCGUUGAACAAUUUCCAUGAUUUCACGGACAUCGUGAUUCCUCUGUACACGACGGCGCGUAGAUUCGACGGUGAAGUUCAAUUCCUCGUGACGAACAAGAAUCCAUGGUGGAUCAGCAAAUUUAAGGGAUUAGUGAGGAAAUUUUCGAAUUAUGAAGUGAUUUACAUCGACGAAGAAGACGAAACGCAUUGUUUCGGCAGCGUCAUUGUCGGUCUCAAUCGCCACCGUGAUUAUGACAAAGAACUAACGAUCGAUCUUUCGAAUUCGGAGUGUUCCAUGUCCGAUUUCCGGAAAUAUCUCAGAGACGCAUACUCGUUGAGAAACGCCGCCGUGUCUACGUGGCGGAGGCCACGGCUUCUAAUUUUGUCGAGGAGCAUAUCGCGAGCGUUUGUGAACGCUGAUGAAAUCGCUAGAGCGGCGAGACAGAUGGGAUUCAAUGUCGUGGUGGUGGAAGCAAACACCGGAAUUGCGAGUUUCGCACAAACUGUGAAUUCCUGUGACGUGAUGCUUGGCGUUCACGGCGCGGGACUGACGAACAUGGUGUUCUUACCAGAGAACGCGGUCGUGAUUCAGAUUCUUCCGAUCGGUGGAUUCGAGUGGCUUGCGAACACGGAUUUCGAGGAUCCGUCGAAGGGAAUGAAUCUGAGGUAUUUGGAGUAUAAGAUCGCGGCGGAGGAGAGUACGCUGGCGAAGCAGUACGGACGUGAUCACGAGGUCGUUAGAGAUCCAUCGGCGGUUGCAAAACGCGGGUGGGGAACGUUCAAGUCGGUUUAUUUGGUACAGCAGAACGUGACCGUUGAUAUAAACCGGUUCAAGCCGGUUCUUGUCAAAGCUCUUGAGUUAUUACAUAAUCAGUCGGUGUAAAUAAGUAAAUUUCAAGCAUUCGUGUACUGUAAAUUAUUCUAGUCGGAUCGAAAUAAUUACCAGUAAAUAACCUUGUUUUGUCUC